RNAcentral lists this long non-coding RNA (867 nucleotides) under Brassica rapa (field mustard). RNAcentral's name for it is "long non-coding RNA (BRAP_LNC000669)". The record is from RNAcentral. Lineage: Eukaryota; Viridiplantae; Streptophyta; Magnoliopsida; Brassicales; Brassicaceae.
CGUCGCUGCGUCUCUCUCCCGCAACCUUACAGAUUCGUUUUGAUUCCCAUCGAUCGGAGAGAGAGAGAAUAAUUCAAUAAGCGACCAUGUUGGUGUACACUGAUCUUCUCACCGGUAAGCUCAAUCAUUGUUUAUUUGAUUCACCAUCAUCGCUUCUAUAUUGUCGAUUGAGCUAUUCAUUGAUUUCGACUUGUUCUGCCUCGAAUUUGGGUUUGAGAUUAGAUCUGUAAUCGCAUCUUAAGUUUUUCGUCGCGAUUUGCAGCUGUAAUCAAUCCUGUUAGCGAUUUAGAUUAGGUUUCUCGUUAAUUUGUAAUUUUGUUAGUGAUGGGCAUAGUUAUUGAAUCUUAUGAUUAGAUCUGUGAUUGGUUAGUUUUUUUUAAUUUUUGAAUAGUUUAGAUUGGAUUUGGUAGAAAUUAUAUAUAAUAUGAAUCACUGGAUUGGUUUAAUUGGUUAUUGAUUCAGGUGAUGAGCUUCUCUCUGACUCUUUCCCGUACAAGGAGAUUGAGAAUGGUAUUCUUUGGGAAGUUGAAGGAAAGGUCUGUGCCAACCCUUUACUCAGUAUUCAUCACCUUUGUUCUGAUUUUUUUAUGUUGAUUUUUUUUUUUGGCUUUAUAUUUUAGUGGACUACUAAGGGAUGUGUAGAGGUUAACAUUGGUGCCAACCCAUCUGCUGAGGAAGGCGGUGAGGACGAGGGUGUUGACGACUCUGUUGAAAAGGUUGUUGACAUUGUCGACACCUUCAGGCUUCAGGAGCAGCCCACUUACGACAAGAAGGGUUUCAUCGCCUAUAUCAAGAAGUACAUCAAGCUUUUGACUCCCAAGCUCACCCCGGAACAGCAAGAAGAGUUCAAGAAGGGUAUUGAGGGAG